UACGUAGGGUCCGAGCGUUGUCCGGAAUUACUGGGCGUAAAGCGCGCGCAGGCGGCCCGCGAGGUGUCACGUGAAAGCCCCGGGCUCAACCCGGGAGGGUCGUGGCAAACCGGCGGGCUUGAGGCCGGUAGAGGUGGGUGGAACUCCUGGUGGAGCGGUGAAAUGCGUAGAGAUCGGAAAGAACACCAACGGCGAAAGCACUCUGCUGGGCCGACACUGACACUGAGAGACGAAAGCUAGGGGAGCGAAUGGG
This 253-nucleotide ribosomal RNA is filed under the name uncultured bacterium. RNAcentral describes it as "partial 16S ribosomal RNA". It matches the Rfam family "Bacterial small subunit ribosomal RNA", at positions 524 to 776 of the family's 1533-position model. The record is from RNAcentral.